RNAcentral lists this ribosomal RNA (400 nucleotides) under Phascolopsis gouldii. Its description in RNAcentral is "partial 18S ribosomal RNA". It matches the Rfam family "Eukaryotic small subunit ribosomal RNA", at positions 144 to 537 of the family's 1831-position model. Lineage: Eukaryota; Metazoa; Annelida; Sipuncula; Golfingiida; Sipunculidae. The record is from RNAcentral.
AYNACUGUGGCNNUUCUNGAGUNNAUACAUGCNAUNAUGCUCUGRCCGGGGGGGAAGAGCGAGUUUAUUAGAUCAAAACCAACCGGCGCGCAAGCGUCGAGCCGUUGGUGACUCAGAAUAACUUUGGUGUGAUCGCAUGGCCGAGAGCUGGCGACGUUUCUUUCNAAUGUCCGCCCUAUCAAGUUUCGUAUGUCGGCGCAAUGCCCACAUAGCUUUUUACGGGUGACGGGGAAUCAGGNUUCGAUUCCGGAGAGGGAGCAUGAGAAACGGCUACCACAUCCAAGGNAGGCAGCAGGCACGCNAAUUACCCACUCCUGACACGGGGAGGUAGUGACGAAAAAUAACAAUACGGGACUCUUACGAGGCCCCGUAAUUGGAAUGAGUACACUUUAAAUCCUUU